This 262-nucleotide ribosomal RNA is filed under the name uncultured archaeon. Its description in RNAcentral is "partial 16S ribosomal RNA". It matches the Rfam family "Archaeal small subunit ribosomal RNA", at positions 748 to 1008 of the family's 1478-position model. The record is from RNAcentral.
CAGCCGUAAACUAUGCGCGUUAGGUGUAUCGGUGACCACGAGUCACCGAGGUGCCGAAGGGAAACCGUGAAACGUGCCGCCUGGGAAGUACGGUCGCAAGGCUGAAACUUAAAGGAAUUGGCGGGGGAGCACCACAACAGGUGGAGCCUGCGGUUUAAUUGGACUCAACGCCGGACAACUCACCGGGGGACGACAGCAAUAUGUAGGCCAGGCUGAAGACUCUACUUGAUGAUCUGAGAGGAGGUGCAUGGCGUCAGUGACU